RNAcentral lists this long non-coding RNA (1375 nucleotides) under Heterocephalus glaber (naked mole-rat). Its description in RNAcentral is "lncRNA (ENSHGLG00100033294.1)". The record is from RNAcentral. Lineage: Eukaryota; Metazoa; Chordata; Mammalia; Rodentia; Bathyergidae.
GUCUUUUGAAAGAAAGAUGUUGUAACUGUUGAGACUUUGAGGAAGAGAUUAUUGCAUUUUCAGUUGUAUACAAGAAAGUUGUAUCACAUGAGAUGAAAUUAUUAACUUGUGUUUGUUUGUAGAUUAAGUAUGGUUUAAGGAGAUAUAUUUGGGCUUCAAUUUGAUAAUGGAUGGGAUGUGAAGGUUAAGAUUGUUAAUUUGAUUAGAUGGGAGCCACAUAAGUGACUAGGAAAUCGCACUUCUGGGUAUGCCUGGGUAAGUCAUGAAAGUGUGACCUUGGAACUGUAUCUGGUACCUGGCCCUUCCUCUCUGUGCUGUUUCCCUGUUCUGCUUCCAGACCACCAUAAACUAACCAGCUUUGUUCCACCCCACCCUUCCACCAUGAUGUUUCUGCCUUGAAGACAGCUAAUCAUAGACUGAGUCCCCUGAAAAUGUGAGACAAAUUAAACCUCUCUUCCUUUCAGUUAUAGAUGUUGAGUAUUGUGUCCCAACAAUAAGAAAGAUGACUAAUACAAUGUGCAUAAUUUUAAUAGAAAUAACAUUUUGUUUCCUACAGUAGAAAAGCUUUUGAUUUCUUUUUUGUUUACUUCCCUUUCAAAGUAGGAAGGUGCUGUGAUUUGGAUUUUAAAUGCCCCUCAAAAGUUCAUGUGUUGAAAGCUUGGUCCCAGCUGAUGGCACUAUUUACAGCUGGUGGGAACUCUAGAAAAUGAAGCCUAGUUUGAGAGGCUGUCAGCCCAGGCAUCCUCUGGAAUGCUCCUGUGCACUCUGAAGGACUCUGUGCACUUGUGGGAGGCAGAAAUAAUGACCUGUAGACUGCUGAAGUGGGCAGUGCUGCAACCUGGAACCCCACCAGCCCUGCUGGGAAGGAAGCUUGUCCGUUUAUCAAGCUGACAGCAAGGCAGCAAAGGGAGCUGCUGAAGCAUCCUUUGCCAAGGACGAGCAUAAUGCAGAAAUAUACGUCAUUGCUGCUUGUGAAUGAAUAUAUUUCUGGUUCAAUUGCUGGAUCAUAUCACCAGUCAUCUAAAGUAAUGGACAGUGAAGAAUGACCAAAAGUUACAUUCCCCCAGACAAUGCCAAAAAUAGCUUUAUCUAAAGUGAGCUAUUGAGUUGGAGUCAGAUUUACUGGCCUCGUAGAAAAAAUACAACACUCGUAUACUUUUUCUAACUUAGAAUCUAUUAAAGAUAGUGCCCUAAGAACACUCAAGGAACUGUGGCCUUUUCCAGAUCAUGAGUUAAGUUUACCUGUCUUUUAGUAGAACCUUGUCUUUUCCAUAUGGUUCAAACUAUACCAGCAAGACACUAUUGCUGUUUAGGUAGAUUUCAAAUAAACAUUCUGCAAGACAGUACUGUAGAUGCUGGUACUGCCUCUCCAGAG